This 445-nucleotide ribosomal RNA is filed under the name uncultured bacterium. RNAcentral's name for it is "partial 16S ribosomal RNA". It matches the Rfam family "Bacterial small subunit ribosomal RNA", at positions 354 to 796 of the family's 1533-position model. The record is from RNAcentral.
GUGAGGAAUAUUGGACAAUGGGCGCAAGCCUGAUCCAGCCAUGCCGCGUGCAGGAAGACGCAUCUAUGGUGUGUAAACUGCUUUUGUACGGGAAGAAACACUCCCUCGUGAGGGAGCUUGACGGUACCGUAAGAAUAAGGAUCGGCUAACUCCGUGCCAGCAGCCGCGGUAAUACGGAGGAUCCAAGCGUUAUCCGGAAUCAUUGGGUUUAAAGGGUCCGUAGGCGGUUUAAUAAGUCAGUGGUGAAAGUCCAUCGCUCAACGAUGGAACGGCCAUUGAUACUGUUAGACUUGAAUUACAAGGAAGUAACUAGAAUAUGUAGUGUAGCGGUGAAAUGCUUAGAUAUUACAUGGAAUACCAAUUGCGAAGGCAGGUUACUACUUGUGGAUUGACGCUGAUGGACGAAAGCGUGGGGAGCGAACAGGAUUAGAUACCCUGGUAGUCC